RNAcentral lists this ribosomal RNA (299 nucleotides) under uncultured Bacillus sp. RNAcentral's name for it is "partial 16S ribosomal RNA". It matches the Rfam family "Bacterial small subunit ribosomal RNA", at positions 45 to 332 of the family's 1533-position model. The record is from RNAcentral. Lineage: Bacteria; Bacillati; Bacillota; Bacilli; Caryophanales; Bacillaceae.
UGCGUAAUACCUGCAAGUCGAGCGAAUGGAUUAAGAGCUUGCUCUUAUGAAGUUAGCGGCGGACGGGUGAGUAACACGUGGGUAACCUGCCCAUAAGACUGGGAUAACUCCGGGAAACCGGGGCUAAUACCGGAUAACACUUUGACCCGCCUGGUUGGAAAUUGAAAGGCGGCUUCGGCUGUCAAUUAUGGAUGGACCCGCGUGGCAUUAGCUAGUUGGUGAGGUAACGGCUCACCAAGGCAACGAUGCGUAGCCGACCUGAGAGGGUGAUCGGCCACUCUGGGACUGACACGCGGCCC